This 342-nucleotide unclassified non-coding RNA is filed under the name Hevea brasiliensis (rubber tree). The record is from RNAcentral. Lineage: Eukaryota; Viridiplantae; Streptophyta; Magnoliopsida; Malpighiales; Euphorbiaceae.
GCAAAUCUUCUGCUGGUUGCCUUCUAGUGGUCAAUUCGUGGAUUAUUUACUCUUUGUUUUAUUUAUUUAUUAUUUUAUUAUUAUACUUCGCCUAAUGAAUUCCAACAAUGGUACUAUUGGUUGAAGUAAUUUUCAAAUUAUAAUGUACAUUAUCUGUAUCCAUACUGUUAUUCAUGUCAGUUUAAGUAAUUCAUCCUUCAUUGUGUAACAUUUAUAAGCUUAUAGUGAUGGAAAUUGCUUAAGGGAAAAAGUAUCACAUCAACUGAGUAUGAGAAAAUUAAAGGGCAUAAAAGUUCAAGGCAAACCAGACCAAAAUGUCCUAAGCCAUUUUGGUGAUGGGGA